GUCCAACUGACGAGUCCCAGAUAAGACGAAACGCGCGUUAUGGAU
Molecule: non-coding RNA, 45 nt
Filed under: Schistosoma margrebowiei
Lineage: Eukaryota; Metazoa; Platyhelminthes; Trematoda; Strigeidida; Schistosomatidae
Source: RNAcentral